Tachysurus fulvidraco (yellow catfish) is the source of this 361-nucleotide long non-coding RNA. RefSeq lists it as uncharacterized. The record is from RefSeq and is a predicted model, not a curated record. The transcript is spliced from 3 exons. NCBI's taxonomy places the organism in Eukaryota, Metazoa, Chordata, Actinopteri, Siluriformes, Bagridae.
CCCCACAACGAGGAUUUAAGGGCUGACCCCAGACUCCGAGUGGAGGUUUACACUCUGAUCCACCGACCAGGAGACUAAAAGGAGGUUAAGGUCAUAAAGAGACUCUUCAGUCUGAACGUGGAGGGACGUGGACACGAGAGCGGAGUUCCCGAGACGACGUCCGGCAGCCGAGGCGGAGGACAGGUCAGACGUUAAAUAAGGAGACGUGAGACUGAACUCAUCCUGCAGGGACUGGAGAGGAGCAGGUCAGAACAUUUUCAGAACCUUUUCUUCUCUGCAGCUCAAAUUAAAACCUCAAUCUUCAGUGAUCAUUCGGCGGAGCAGGACAUGGCUCAGGCCGAGCAGCUGCAGCUGAAGGCCG